RNAcentral lists this ribosomal RNA (451 nucleotides) under uncultured bacterium. RNAcentral's name for it is "bacterial SSU rRNA". It matches the Rfam family "Bacterial small subunit ribosomal RNA", at positions 354 to 796 of the family's 1533-position model. The record is from RNAcentral.
GUGGGGAAUUUUUCGCAAUGGGGGAAACCCUGACGAAGCAACGCCGCGUGGAGGAUGAAGGUCUUCGGAUUGUAAACUCCUGUCGACCGGGACGAAAGCGAUAGAACCCAAUACGUUCUGUUGUUGACUGUACCGGUGGAGGAAGCCACGGCUAACUCUGUGCCAGCAGCCGCGGUAAUACAGAGGUGGCAAGCGUUGUUCGGAAUUACUGGGCGUAAAGGGCGCGUAGGCGGCCCUCUAAGUCCCGUGUGAAAGCCCCCGGCUCAACCGGGGAACUGCACGGGAAACUGGAAGGCUUGAGUUCGGGAGAGGGAAGCGGAAUUCCGGGUGUAGCGGUGAAAUGCGUAGAUAUCCGGAGGAACACCGGUGGCGAAGGCGGCUUCCUGGACCGACACUGACGCUGAGGCGCGAAAGCUAGGGGAGCAAACGGGAUUAGAAACCCGGGUAGUCC